Schistosoma rodhaini is the source of this 78-nucleotide non-coding RNA. The record is from Rfam. NCBI's taxonomy places the organism in Eukaryota, Metazoa, Platyhelminthes, Trematoda, Strigeidida, Schistosomatidae.
AGCCCUCUGUAUCUGUGCUGAGGUUUCGUCACACACCAGACCACAAGGGCUGAUGAGACUUUCAAGAUACGUGGAGCG